UGCAGCAGAUAUGCCUUUCAACUGGAAACGUCUUACACGCUUUAGCAGUUAAACACGUGAUGUUUUAAUUAACAAGGCUGCAGACGUACUAGUGGGUAUGCAAGGCUGCACUUAAGCACAAUCAUAUCUUGAACGAAGUGCUAUCAACUUUUAUUAACUAUCAGCUCUUACAUGCUGAUAUUGAACAGGUGUGAUGUUUAUCAUGCUCACCAUUUUUGUUCUAUGUGUUUGCAUGCUAAUCUUUGCUACUUAGCACAAAACAUAAAGUAAAGCUUUUUGCAGGUGGGAAUUAGCUUUGCAAGUAUUUGGUUACUCAUUAAAGUACUGAUCUGCUCAUGACAGAUAAAAAGUGAAGACAUUACUGAAAUGAUUAGCUGAGAUCAUUGACUGCAUAAUAGCCCCUGGUUGGGAUUUUUCACUCGAAUGACCAGCUUCAUAGUGAUGCGUGGGGAAAAAAAAACAGAUAAUCACCAAUGCCAUUAAAAUGCCUCCUCUGGAAACUAUUAAGGGCUAUAAAAAUUUUCAUGGCAAGCCAUACAGUAGUUGUUAAGAUAUUUUAGUUGGACCAACUGACCUACCAAUCAACCGGACAUUAGCAUCCCUAGAGCCCUUUUGCUAACAUAUCUAAAUAUACAGAAAACACCAACAAUAAAGCACAUCCAAACAAUGCUGUAGACUCUGAGAACAAUAUACUGCCAAUACAUGACUAGGACUAGCCCCUUUCAUCUAGAGCGAAGCAAUGAUAAGUUAUUUUCACAAGUGGUCAUGAUAUAGACUGGCGUUCUUUGGAUAAAUGCAAAUAUUAUUAGUCAGAAUCUGAUUGCUGACCCUUACAGUGCAUGAGCUGAGGGUCCAAAUUAAUUUUUGGGACAACAAAACCCAUUUCACAGAUGAAAUUACUGAUUUUACAUGUAAAUUCAAAUGAUCUUUUCUGAAUACCAAUUUCAAACCCGAGAUUAGGUUUAAAAGGAACCGUGGUGUUAUGCUCUACAGAUACGAGUCACUUCCUGUUUUGGCUGUUUCCAUAGCAUCACCAUAGCAAUAGCAGCAAACAAACUCCAGUAAUACCAGCAAACAACCACGUUUAUGACAUAUAAGAACAAACCACAGUAAAGUGUUACCUUGUGUAUGAAAUGUGUGAUUCCUGGGUGUGAUUAAUACAUUUUCUGCGAUUUGAGAACUAAUGUAAACAGGUUGACAUUAAAAAUAAUGUGUGGUUCAAUCCAAUAAACUAAAAAUAUAAUACUAAAAUAGACAGUAUAAUGACAAAAGCAUAUUGUAUGAGACAGAGGAAAGAAAAGGAGAAAACUGAAAGCGUCUGAAGACAAAUGAUUAUCCAGCCAGAGUUUGUUUCCUUCUCAGAACAAUGUCUGUCCUAGUUUCUCUCUCUGGAGAAACAACAUUGACACAAUGUGCAUAGAUGAUCCACUCCUUUAAUGAAUAGUCGGGGUGACUGUGUAACAUUUGCCGUGAAUGAUGAAUUCCCUUUUAAACAGCUGAACAUACACACAGUUUCACAUAGGCUAGACUGAAGCAAAAAAAAACCAAAAAAACAACAAAGAGACUAACUUGGUCAACACUCCAUCACUGCAGAAUGCACAAAACUCUCAAUCACUGUCAGUCCAUACAAGUAAAAUCAACUUGUUCACCCAGGUUGAACUCAAUUUGUUUAACAGCUCAUGUGAACAUUAAAAUGGCUUUAUGACUAAGUGGGUCAAAUUUCUCAUUCAUAUGUGAAGUGGCUUUGAAAGAAGGUCUAAAAAAAAAAAGAUGGAUAAGGGCCACUUUUAACCACACAAGGCUGAAUGACGGCUUGAAAAAUAACUCCAGGGUUCUUAACUGGCCAUUUUUGGUGAUGACGUUACAGCAGCACAAAAAAAAAAGAGUUUAACAUCUAUAUACUCUACAUGACAGAACCCGAAAUUAAACAUCAGACUGCUGAGUCAGCCAAUCCUCAUCCAACAAAGGAAAAGAAAAAAAAAACCCAAAACGUUUCCGUAAUGGUUGCUCAGUGAGAACACACACAUGCACUCUCAUCAGACGUCCUUGUGGCUGGGAAUCCUUGUGGUAAUGGCUGACUAAUGGCAACUCCUCAGCAUUCCUGUUAGGCAACGUGCGUUUUUCCUUCCAACCAGCGCCGUCACCGGAAUGCGAGUAGAAGAGAUUGCAAGAUGUCCAUGCACCAGGCCAGCUAUUAGAACUAUGGACAAAGUUUUCCAUAUUAGGCCCGAGAUCCACUUCAGCACCAGCACCCUCCCUUGGCAUGGCUGGGACCAUCUUUAAGCUUUGACAUGCCUGAUACCAUUCCUGUCAUGUGCAUACAUCGUAGUGAAAUGAAAGCCAUCUUUCAUAGUGUAAACAUCCAGUGAAUGUGAGUGUUUUAACAGAAUAAUGAGGUAAUGAUGACAACUGCAUGGUGUACAGUGCUCCAGUUCCUCUUCCAGGGCUUGUGUAUGUUGUGUUGGUUUUGUUGGGUGUGUGCUUUCAGUGUUGUAGGUUACCUGGUUGUUGGAGCUGAACUUAGUCAUAGAACUAGAGGCAGUUCACGACACUGUUCCCUCUAAGCUGCGCGCGUGCGCAAUUGCGCACUGCUGACACGGUCUCCGCGCACAGAAAAUCUGCGCUGCGCACACACAAAAAAAAUCCAACCUAACUUGUAAAUAAAAUAAACAUGUAACAAUUCAUUCUGUGCUAUUUUUCAGUGUGAGUCAGUGAGUGACCGGUGACUGGCUGUUGCAGCCAGUGAUGCGAUUUACAUACGUAUUUACCAUAGACUGUAUAUAAUGGUAUUUACGCAGCUAAUCAACGUCAGGCGUCCUUAUGUGCAGCUACCGUUGCUCUCAUAGAUAUGAAUGAGUAGAUAGGACACGCCCCCUUUGAGCUGCGUGCUACAGCGAGGCUAAGCUAGUGGGGGCAAAGUUUCAGUGCAUUCCGUUAAUGUAGACAGCGUGAAAACAACAAGUAUGCCGUCUCACUGUGCUGCAUACAAUUACACACUGCGUCGUACGAUUGAGACAAGGAAACUUGGAAUGACUUUUCAUAGGUUUCCCAGAGACUAUGGGUUGAGGAGGAAUUGGAAGUUUGUCGGCUUAGACCUGGUGUCAUUCCAUCAGUGUUUAACUUCCCGGCUCAUCUUGGAAGAGUACGUGCCAGAAAGACCACAACCAAGCAGCCUUGAGAUCUUAGGCAGCGUCUCCCUGAGGUCCCUCUCUAUCUCCCCACACAUCCACCAACCACUGGAACACAUCUCCAAAGUUCUGCCGGGCCAGCUCAGCUUCCCCUCAGAAGAAAUGCUGCCACCUGCCAGAUGAAGGAGCCUUUUGAGAGGCAGCUGGCAUCGUGAUUGGACUGUACUUUGGUCUGUUCCAAUCCAGCUUCAGCUCCAGAGACGGCAUGCGGGACGAGUCAACGGAGGCCGGGUGGACGAAGACAUGCAGCUGAGUACAAUCCAGAAAACAACAGAGGAGGAGUGCAGUGGCCCAGGGCCAGAACAAGCAGAGUAGCAUCGUAUGUCUCUUAGAAAAAAUUAUAGUAUAGCCUUUGAUAUGAAAAAACACCAUCAUAUACAUCGUAUAUUGUACAAAUAACAAGUCAAAGGAAAGAGACAUACAUUGUAGAACUGUAGUAAUUGUGGGCUGACUGAUUUACUGAUUAUCAGUAUUUUAUUUUUUACUGAUUUACGGUAAUAAAUAAAUUUAAAAAUGGC
Molecule: long non-coding RNA, 3706 nt
Organism: Amphiprion ocellaris (clown anemonefish)
Lineage: Eukaryota; Metazoa; Chordata; Actinopteri; Pomacentridae
Exons: 3
Source: RefSeq, a predicted model, not a curated record